RNAcentral lists this long non-coding RNA (1128 nucleotides) under Oncorhynchus kisutch (coho salmon). RNAcentral describes it as "lncRNA (ENSOKIG00005022111.1)". Lineage: Eukaryota; Metazoa; Chordata; Actinopteri; Salmoniformes; Salmonidae. The record is from RNAcentral.
AUGUCAUGUUCUAUUCCAGACCCCAGCAUCGACGGUGCCGGCACAGCCGCAGGGGUACAAAACGCUUCGGAAGUGAGCCCCCUGCCCUACAACAACGCACCAUCGGACACCAACGCACCAGUCCCUCACAAACCAUCACGGAGCAAGAACAAGAAGGGCCACCACCAUUCCAAACACCGAUCCCCGGAAAAGAAGAGCCAGGGAGGGGCGUCUGGGGAGACAAGGGCCUCCAAGCAGUCCAAGAAAAAAGUUGACAAGAGCCAGAGGUCUGGCGGGGAUACCCACGGCACUCACCACCGAGGACACCACUCCCCGAAUAAGGGCCGUAGCCGGGCCCGCAGCGCAGAGAACACCCUAGACAGUAGACACAGCCAAGGGCACCACAACACCCACCGCUCUCCCUACAGGUCCACUCACCGCAAUCGGUCCCCCUAUGGCCACCGGUCCCCCUACCGCUCCCCCCACCGCUCACACCACCACUCCCCCACCCGCUACCGCCGUACCCAAUCCUCAGACCCCUACUGGCAGCCCUCCCUAGACAGACAGCGACACAGAGAGCCAGAGAGGCCCAACGGGGAGAAGGCACCAGUGCUGAGGAAGCCUCCUGGCCCUGUGCCCAGCCCCUUCCUGGAUGAGAGCCUCCUACAGGAGCCCCCAGCCCUGGACCGGCUCAACAGGGAGGUCACGCGACUGAGGGAGUCCAGAGAGGAGCACCUGUUUGGGGAGGACAGCCUUCUGCUGAGGGCCUCCAACCUGGAGCGUGACUACAGAGGAGACAGCCUGUUAUCUGCUACUGCCCGUGGCCAGAGAGGGGAGAUCCUUCCCAGGGUCCACACCCCUGAGUCAGACAGCGCCUACAAGAGGUACAGCUCACUGCUGAGGGGCCGCUCGCCUGAGAGGGUGGAGAGAGAGCCGCGCUCCCCAGACCCCCACCAUAGAGCCCGUAGCCUGGGCCGAGACAUUUCACCUGUCGGAAGCUUCAGAGAACCGGAGGAGGAGGAAGCGGCAGCACCCAGACUGAAGGAGUAUUACAGCACACUUAAGUCUAAUGCCAGCCGUGCUUCCAAAGCUCUCCCGGAGCCCAAGCGGAAGGCCCAUAAAGAUGGCACCAAAGACCUGAGCAUCUGA